RNAcentral lists this small nucleolar RNA (134 nucleotides) under Scophthalmus maximus (turbot). Its description in RNAcentral is "Small nucleolar RNA SNORA3/SNORA45 family (ENSSMAG00000020325.2)". It matches the Rfam family "Small nucleolar RNA SNORA3/SNORA45 family". From Rfam's summary of the family: The members of this family belong to the H/ACA class of snoRNAs which are thought to guide the sites of modification of uridines to pseudouridines. This family includes mouse snoMBI-28 and human homologues ACA3 (SNORA3) and ACA3-2 (SNORA45). Lineage: Eukaryota; Metazoa; Chordata; Actinopteri; Pleuronectiformes; Scophthalmidae. The record is from Rfam by way of RNAcentral.
CGCGAGGCUAGAGUCACGCCUGGACACUUCCCGUUGUCCUGGUGUGCUAGAGUGCUCGCAGAGGAAAAACGUCUCUGCUUAUUCAUUGGCUGUAGUCUGACGUGGCCCGGUCAAUCACCAACAGAGAUACAUUA